GGAAGCCCUUCCACGAGAUCAAGCAGCGAGUGACUUCCGGUCGCACGGGUUCUCGAAAAAUUUUCGAAAUUCCUGAAAUUUCCCCGAGUUUCCCGAGGCGGAGUAAAAUUGGCUGGCGGUCUUCGCGAGAGAUCGGCGAUCGUCGCGCCGCGUCGGUGGCGCCCGCUAGGCGGCGCGCGCACGCACUAGGCCCCCUCGGAGUCAUGUGUUCGCUCAGUGUAUUGCGGCCUCUGCUAGCGUACGGUCGUUCGUGUGGGGGUACGUGGACUGGGUGUCGCGGUGGCGCGUAUCGUUCCUCGUGAAACCGAGAAGCAGCCCGCGGAUUCCCGUGAUCGUGGCGGCCCGAGCACACGUACACGCAUUAAUCGGUCCCGGUCGAGUGUUGUUUUCGUCGCGUGCGCGCGCGCGCGCGUGCUUGCGUUUUCAUCUCGGCCGCGCAGUGGGUCCGGAUUCGGUUCCGACCAGACCACGACGACGACGACGACGACGACAACAACGACGGCGACGGUACGCACGGCUGAUAAACGUAAACGUCGCCGCGGCUAGGGAAGAAUCGGCGGAGAGAGGGAAAGAGAGACGAAUUAGUAGAGGCUGUGUGGAGCAGCGGAUCGGGAGGUGUGCGCGUCUCGUGUUCGCGCCAGCCAGAGGCGUCCUUCCGCGUUCUCUCUCGUGCACAUUCACGCCGGGGAUCGCACGGCUAGUGAGUGAUUUUUAUUACCGACGAGCAGUGCCCCGGGAAGGACGGAAGUAGCCGUUCAGUGAAGUUCCUCGACUUUUCGCGAUCGGUCAACCAGAGACCCGCAGGGAUGACGAGGUAGCCCCCCAUCCGAGGGAUUGGAUUACCAUGCUGGACACGGCCACGAGUCGCAGGUGGCUGUUAGAAGUUCAGGCUGAAACCGCGAAGAGCACCGAUUGGCAGCAGCAUGCUAGCGAUAUAGCGUUCGAGCAUCGACAGUCUUCUACGUGAAGUGACUCUGCCAUGUUGCUUAGGUGAACGGGAGGGAGGCGGUGCUGACCGGUGGCGGCGGCGGCCAUGCGCCCCGGCCCGCCAGUACAGCCGAGCCGCCGCAGGCCUCCCCGUCGCCAGGAACCCCAUCAGGAACGCAACCGACGGCACCGGCAAGACCAACAGCAACCGGUGCACCCGCGGCCGCACGGCAGCAGCUCGCGGGCCCUGCUGGUGUUGCUGCUGCUGGCCAGCAGCCCUCUGGUCCUGGGCCUGGCCGAACCGCCAGGGUCACCCGGGGCCGGACAGCAGGCGCUCUCCAGAGAGACCUACCCGAAGUCGGGCACCCAGCUAAGGAAACAUCAGAACCUCACCAUUGGAUACCUCACGGCGAUCAAGGGCGGCCUCAAGGACCGCCAGGGUCUCGCCAUAUCCGGCGCCUUCUCCAUGGCCCUU
Megalopta genalis is the source of this 1402-nucleotide non-coding RNA. Lineage: Eukaryota; Metazoa; Arthropoda; Insecta; Hymenoptera; Halictidae. The record is from RefSeq and is a predicted model, not a curated record.